CAGGGAUUGCCCUAGUAACGGCGAGUGAAGCGGCAACAGCUCAAAUUUGAAAUCUGGCUCUUUCAGAGUCCGAGUUGUAAUUUGUAGAGGGUGCUUUGGCGUUGGCCCUGGCCUAAGUUCCUUGGAACAGGACGUCACAGAGGGUGAGAAUCCCGUACGUGGCCGCCGGUCUUCGCCGUGUAAAGCCCCUUCGACGAGUCGAGUUGUUUGGGAAUGCAGCUCUAAAUGGGAGGUAAAUUUCUUCUAAAGCUAAAUAUUGGCCAGAGACCGAUAGCGCACAAGUAGAGUGAUCGAAAGAUGAAAAGCACUUUGGAAAGAGAGUCAAAAAGCACGUGAAAUUGUUGAAAGGGAAGCGCUUGCAGCCAGACUUGCCCGCGGUUGUUCACCCGAGUCUCUGACCAGGGGCAUUCUUCCGCGGGCAGGCCAGCAUCAGUUUGGGCGGCCGGACAAAGACCUCUAUCACGUAUCUUCCUUCGGGAUGACCUUAUAGGGGAGGUGUAAUGCGGCCAGCCCGGAUUGAGGCCCGCGCAUCUGCUAGGAUGCUGGCGUAAUGGCUGUAAGCGGCCCGUCUUGAAACACGGACCAAGGAGUCUAACAUCUAUGCGAGUGUUUGGGUGUCAAGCCCGGGCGCGCAAUGAAAGUGAACGGAGGUGGGAACCCCUCGGGGCGCACCAUCGACCGAUCCUGAUGUCUUCGGAUGGAUUUGAGUAAGAGCAUAGCUGUUGGGACCCGAAAGAUGGUGAACUAUGCCUGAAUAGGGUGAAGCCAGAGGAAACUCUGGUGGAGGCUCGCAGCGGUUCUGACGUGCAAAUCGAUCGUCAAAUUUGGGCAUAGGGGCGAAAGACUAAUCGAACUAUCUAGU
RNAcentral lists this ribosomal RNA (862 nucleotides) under Seriascoma didymosporum. RNAcentral describes it as "partial large subunit ribosomal RNA". It matches the Rfam family "Eukaryotic large subunit ribosomal RNA", at positions 69 to 948 of the family's 3401-position model. The record is from RNAcentral. Lineage: Eukaryota; Fungi; Ascomycota; Dothideomycetes; Pleosporales; Occultibambusaceae.